UUCACAUUUUAAAUCCAAGAAAAAUGUUGUUGAUAUUUUAGAAAAAUUUAAAUCUACAUACGAUGGCAUGCUAAUCAAAAAAGGGAAAAUUUAUAAUAAUGUCAAUGACGUAUAUUUAACUGAGAAAAAACCUUGUAUUAUUUUAAUUUGGGAUUCUGAUACUCAUGAUUUUAUUAGCAGAGGUCUCGGGUUUUAUGUUGGAUCUGGAGUUAUAAUUACAGCCAAACAUGUUUUAAAUAAAUACAAAAAUAAAAAGGUAUUUGUUUUUUUCCAAAAUAAAAAAUUUAGUUUAGCCUACAAUAUUAAUACAGAUAACAUAGUUUUCCACAAUGAUUAUGAUUUUGCUAAAGUGAAAUUGGAAAGCAAUUCUGAUAAACUACCAAAUAUAAAACCUGUAGAAUUAGACCUAUUAUAUGGAAACAUAUCUUCAUACCUUUAUUUUUACAGACUAAGAGCAGGGCGUUUUGUUAAAGUCCAAUGUAAAAUGAAAAAAAAAUUGAAUCUCGUAGAGUUUAUUCUUUCUAAAAUGGGAAAUUAUGGCGAUAGCGGGACACCUAUUUUUACAAGUUCUGGUAAAUGUGUUGGAAUAUAUCUUGGUGCAUUUGAAAAACCAAGCACUAAAACAUUUCUAUUCGGCAUAGGUUUACAAUUUGAUAGUUGUUUAAUUAAAGGCAUCUUUUCAAGAAGUGUCCUCUGUAGUUUUUAAUAUUCUAAUGCUAAAUUUUUUUUAUUUCUGUUUUUCAUCACUUUAAUGUUUUUCAAUCUCACUCCAAUUUUCCCAGCUUACUAAUGAGCUAUUGAAUUUUAUAGUGAGUGGGGAAGCAAAAAGCAGGGCCACCAGGGGCAAGAUUGAGAAACACUGUAUCCCAUGUACAUAAAUCUGGCAAAAUGCAGAAAUGCUGUAACACAAUUGGCAUGGUUACAGUACCAUAAAGUGUGUAAUAUUUCCCAUUGUUUGGCGACUGUCUGGAGAGGAUCUUGUGCCUUGCCCAAAACAAAAUCUUGUGUCUUGUCGGUAUGGAGCUGGACUAUUGUUACAGGUGUAGCAGCAUCAGCUCUGAAAGUCAUCUGUUUCAAGCUAAAACAACUAGAAGCACCUCCAAACUGCAUAUGUCACAUUUGGGUCAAGAUACAAUCAUGAUUCCUCUCCAUAAAAUGAUGGUGGCUCGACUCACUUGAUCAAAAGAGACGCAACAAUAUGUUGAAACAGGACAUAGUAAGCACAACACCCUUACGCCAUUGCUCAGUGUCAUGAUGAACCACCUCUGGAUGACACGCGUCACUAUUGGGUCAAAAGAUAUUCCUCAUGAAUUUAUUGCUCAUGAAGUUAACUUUCUAAAUUAAAUGAAAUAAAAUUAUAAAUGUAUAAAAA
Carassius gibelio (silver crucian carp) is the source of this 1372-nucleotide long non-coding RNA. RefSeq lists it as uncharacterized. The record is from RefSeq and is a predicted model, not a curated record. The transcript has 5 exons. NCBI's taxonomy places the organism in Eukaryota, Metazoa, Chordata, Actinopteri, Cypriniformes, Cyprinidae.